RNAcentral lists this ribosomal RNA (498 nucleotides) under uncultured bacterium. RNAcentral's name for it is "partial 16S ribosomal RNA". It matches the Rfam family "Bacterial small subunit ribosomal RNA", at positions 899 to 1397 of the family's 1533-position model. The record is from RNAcentral.
ACUCAAAUGAAUUGACGGGGGCCCGCACAAGCGGCGGAGCAUGUGGAUUAAUUCGAUGCAACGCGAAGAACCUUACCUGGGUUUGACAUACACCAGAAAGCUCUAGAGAUAGAGCCCCCCUUGUGGUUGGUGUACAGGUGGUGCAUGGCUGUCGUCAGCUCGUGUCGUGAGAUGUUGGGUUAAGUCCCGCAACGAGCGCAACCCUUGUCCUGUGUUGCCAGCAAGUAAUGUUGGGGACUCGCAGGAGACUGCCGGGGUCAACUCGGAGGAAGGUGGGGAUGACGUCAAGUCAUCAUGCCCCUUAUGUCCAGGGCUUCACACAUGCUACAAUGGACGGUACAGAGGGUUGCGAUACCGCGAGGUGGAGCGAAUCCCUUAAAGCCGUUCUCAGUUCGGAUCGGGGUCUGCAACUCGACCCCGUGAAGUUGGAGUCGCUAGUAAUCGCAGAUCAGCAACGCUGCGGUGAAUACGUUCCCGGGCCUUGUACACACCGCCCGU